UGCAAGUCGAGCGGAGUGAUGGUGCUUGCACUAUCACUUAGCGGCGGACGGGUGAGUAAUGCUUAGGAAUCUGCCUAUUAGUGGGGGACAACAUUUCGAAAGGAAUGCUAAUACCGCAUACGUCCUACGGGAGAAAGCAGGGGAUCUUCGGACCUUGCGCUAAUAGAUGAGCCUAAGUCGGAUUAGCUAGUUGGUGGGGUAAAGGCCUACCAAGGCGACGAUCUGUAGCGGGUCUGAGAGGAUGAUCCGCCACACUGGGACUGAGACACGGCCCAGACUCCUACGGGAGGCAGCAGUGGGGAAUAUUGGACAAUGGGCGCAAGCCUGAUCCAGCCAUGCCGCGUGUGUGAAGAAGGCCUUAUGGUUGUAAAGCACUUUAAGCGAGGAGGAGGCUACUGAAGUUAAUACCUUCAGAUAGUGGACGUUACUCGCAGAAUAAGCACCGGCUAACUCUGUGCCAGCAGCCGCGGUAAUACAGAGGGUGCAAGCGUUAAUCGGAUUUACUGGGCGUAAAGCGCGCGUAGGCGGCUAAUUAAGUCAAAUGUGAAAUCCCCGAGCUUAACUUGGGAAUUGCAUUCGAUACUGGUUAGCUAGAGUGUGGGAGAGGAUGGUAGAAUUCCAGGUGUAGCGGUGAAAUGCGUAGAGAUCUGGAGGAAUACCGAUGGCGAAGGCAGCCAUCUGGCCUAACACUGACGCUGAGGUGCGAAAGCAUGGGGAGCAAACAGGAUUAGAUACCCUGGUAGUCCAUGCCGUAAACGAUGUCUACUAGCCGUUGGGGCCUUUGAGGCUUUAGUGGCGCAGCUAACGCGAUAAGUAGACCGCCUGGGGAGUACGGUCGCAAGACUAAAACUCAAAUGAAUUGACGGGGGCCCGCACAAGCGGUGGAGCAUGUGGUUUAAUUCGAUGCAACGCGAAGAACCUUACCUGGCCUUGACAUAGUAAGAACUUUCCAGAGAUGGAUUGGUGCCUUCGGGAACUUACAUACAGGUGCUGCAUGGCUGUCGUCAGCUCGUGUCGUGAGAUGUUGGGUUAAGUCCCGCAACGAGCGCAACCCUUUUCCUUAUUUGCCAGCGAGUAAUGUCGGGAACUUUAAGGAUACUGCCAGUGACAAACUGGAGGAAGGCGGGGACGACGUCAAGUCAUCAUGGCCCUUACGGCCAGGGCUACACACGUGCUACAAUGGUCGGUACAA
RNAcentral lists this ribosomal RNA (1192 nucleotides) under Acinetobacter calcoaceticus. RNAcentral describes it as "bacterial SSU rRNA". It matches the Rfam family "Bacterial small subunit ribosomal RNA", at positions 56 to 1242 of the family's 1533-position model. Lineage: Bacteria; Pseudomonadati; Pseudomonadota; Gammaproteobacteria; Moraxellales; Moraxellaceae. The record is from RNAcentral.